UAACCGUAGCCGAGAGGCUACGCUGAACCGGCAGGAGUCAGCAGAGGCCAUAGUACGUAAGCUGUUGCAACAGCCUACGGAAGGGC
Molecule: non-coding RNA, 86 nt
Organism: Paenibacillus yonginensis
Lineage: Bacteria; Bacillati; Bacillota; Bacilli; Caryophanales; Paenibacillaceae
Source: Rfam